Mustela putorius furo (domestic ferret) is the source of this 105-nucleotide small nuclear RNA. The record is from Ensembl. NCBI's taxonomy places the organism in Eukaryota, Metazoa, Chordata, Mammalia, Carnivora, Mustelidae.
GUGCUUACUUGGGCAGCACAUACACUAGAGUUGGAACAGUAGAAGAUUAGCAUGACCCCUUGCGGGGAGAAUGCCUCACGAAUUCAUGAAUGGUUCCAUAUUUUU